AUUGCUUUUGUUGUCUGAAUACACUGACAUCAAAGAGCUUCCUCCUCAUCGACUAGCUGUGAUUCGUCGCUUUUUUGAAGACUACAAGAAGAAUGAGAACAAAGAGGUUGCAGUUAAUGAUUUUUUGCCUUCAGCUACAGCUCAUGAAGCUAUCCAGCACUCCAUGGUUUGAAAAGGAAAUGUUUACAAGGACGA
Molecule: non-coding RNA, 195 nt
Organism: Camellia sinensis
Lineage: Eukaryota; Viridiplantae; Streptophyta; Magnoliopsida; Ericales; Theaceae
Source: RefSeq, a predicted model, not a curated record